AUUGAACGCUGGCGGCAUGCCUUACACAUGCAAGUCGAACGGUAACGGGCCUUCGGGUGCCGACGAGUGGCGAACGGGUGAGUAAUGUAUCGGAACGUACCUUUCAGUGGGGGAUAACGUAGCGAAAGUUACGCUAAUACCGCAUAUUCUGUGAGCAGGAAAGCAGGGGAUCGCAAGACCUUGCGCUGAUUGAGCGGCCGAUAUCAGAUUAGCUAGUUGGUGAGGUAAAGGCUCACCAAGGCGACGAUCUGUAGCGGGUCUGAGAGGAUGAUCCGCCACACUGGAACUGAGACACGGUCCAGACUCCUACGGGAGGCAGCAGUGGGGAAUUUUGGACAAUGGGGGCAACCCCGAUCCAGCCAUGCCGCGUGAGUGAAGAAGGCCUUCGGGUUGUAAAGCUCUUUCGGCCGGGAAGAAAUCGUAUGGGUUAAUACCCUGUGCGGAUGACGGUACCGGCAUAAGAAGCACCGGCUAACUACGUG
This 482-nucleotide ribosomal RNA is filed under the name uncultured bacterium. RNAcentral describes it as "bacterial SSU rRNA". It matches the Rfam family "Bacterial small subunit ribosomal RNA", at positions 30 to 507 of the family's 1533-position model. The record is from RNAcentral.